RNAcentral lists this ribosomal RNA (254 nucleotides) under uncultured bacterium. RNAcentral describes it as "partial 16S ribosomal RNA". It matches the Rfam family "Bacterial small subunit ribosomal RNA", at positions 524 to 776 of the family's 1533-position model. The record is from RNAcentral.
UACGGGGGGGGCAAGCGUUGUUCGGAAUUACUGGGCGUAAAGGGCUCGUAGGCGGCCAACUAAGUCGGAUGUGAAAUCCCCAGGCUUAACCUGGGAGCUGCAUCCGAUACUGGAUGGCUUGAAUCCGGGAGAGGGAUGCAGAAUUCCAGGUGUAGCGGUGAAAAUGCGUAGAUAUCUGGAGGAAUACCGGUGGCGAAGGCGGCAUCCUGGACCGGCAUUGACGCUGAUGAGCGAAAGCUAGGGGAGCAAACGGG